Molecule: unclassified non-coding RNA, 667 nt
Filed under: Hevea brasiliensis (rubber tree)
Lineage: Eukaryota; Viridiplantae; Streptophyta; Magnoliopsida; Malpighiales; Euphorbiaceae
Source: RNAcentral
AAAAAAAACCCAUGAAAACAAGUACAGAGCUCAGCGGCCAAGAACACCAUCGCCCUGUUUUUUUCUAGUGACUCGAAUGUAGCAAAAAACAGCAGCAAAAAUUGCAGUCACAAGACCACCGAUGAUCACACCACCACCAGCCACUGACUUAUCAGAGGAAUGGUGCUUUCCCAUCCGUCUGAUCUCUGGAGCUUCAGCUUCUCUCCACUCCUCAUAUGGGGAUGGAGAUUCUCCAGGACUUGAUGAAGCAGGCUGAUCCGCAACUCUCGUCGCAAACCCAUUUGAUUGCACCCCACUUUGAACCUUAACCUGAGAUGGGUUUGGCUCAGAUUGGUCAUAAUCCGCAGCUUGAACCAUCAAGAUCCCAGCAAGAAUCAAGAAAACUAAAUUGAAAAGCUUAGCCAUAUCAGAAAACAGAGCAAAAAUGAGUAAUAGCUAGAGCCUAGAGCUAGAGAAAGAAUACUAGUAUCAGAACAGAGCUCGGAACUCUAAGUUAAACUCUGAGCACAGAGGAGAUAUGUAUAUAUAGAUGCCUGGUGGGAAUUUUUGGGUACAGACUUGUGUGGCUUGGAAGCAGUGAGAAGUUCCAAGAAAGUUUCAACCUAAAGAGCCUUCCGCGUGUAAUAAAUUAGGGUUCAAAAAGCAAGGGAGGUUUGGUACUUUUGGU